RNAcentral lists this ribosomal RNA (468 nucleotides) under uncultured bacterium. RNAcentral's name for it is "partial 16S ribosomal RNA". It matches the Rfam family "Bacterial small subunit ribosomal RNA", at positions 28 to 507 of the family's 1533-position model. The record is from RNAcentral.
GACGAACGCUGGCGGCGUGCUUAACACAUGCAAGUCGAACGGAAAGGCCCUGCUUUUGUGGGGUGCUCGAGUGGCGAACGGGUGAGUAACACGUGGGUAACCUGCCCUUGACUUUGGGAUAACUUCAGGAAACUGGGGCUAAUACCGGAUAGGAGCUCCUGCUGCAUGGUGGGGGUUGGAAAGUUUCGGCGGUUGGGGAUGGACUCGCGGCUUAUCAGCUUGUUGGUGGGGUAGUGGCUUACCAAGGCUUUGACGGGUAGCCGGCCUGAGAGGGUGACCGGCCACAUUGGGACUGAGAUACAGCCCAGACUCCUACGGGAGGCAGCAGUGGGGAAUAUUGCACAAUGGGCGGAAGCCUGAUGCAGCAACGCCGCGUGCGGGAUGACGGCCUUCGGGUUGUAAACCGCUUUCGCCUGUGACGAAGCGUGAGUGACGGUAAUGGGUAAAGAAGCACCGGCUAACUACGUG